CCAGCACUGAAACCCAUGGACACACCCCUUCCGUGACCCCAGAGUGCCAUGUGCUCUGAAAAGCUCACUGGCUUCUGGAAGAGAGGAUAAUGGAUAUUGGGGGCAACUAGCAAUCUCUGCCACUGGAACACAAUCUCCCCUCCCCCCCAGGACUUCGGUGAACCAAGGUCAAGGCAAUGGCAGACUGCAAGGGGAGGAGAGAGGUGAUCUGGCAAGUAGUCUGAGGAGGCUGCCUGGGGGAGGCAACAUCUGGGCCAAGCCUUGAAGGACAACUAGAGUUUGGGAAGCUGAGAUGGAAAAGAGUUCCAGAAAAGGUGGUGGACUAGCCGAUGGAGCAAGUGUGGAGAAAUUAUGGUUCAGUGUGAAGAGCCUGGUUUUGCAGCCAGAGGACCCAGGUCCAAGUCCUGACACAGUCGGCGGAGCAAGGCGCCCGCUUCCCCGAGCCUCGGCUGACCCCUCGUUGAAAGGCUGAUGGCCACAGCUCCUCGAAGGCCUGCGGGGGGCGGCGGCCGCGGAAGGGCCUGGCAUUCGGUGGGGUUGUGGCGGAUGUUCCCAUGGCUGGAGCGCGGGGUCAGGGUUGGGCAGGGGCAGGAGGCGGAGGCCCCACCUGGCGGCCUCGAAGGCCAGGCCAAGCGGUUUGGAUGUUGCUCAGAAGCUGUGGGCAGCUGCUUGGCAGGGCAGCAUCCUGAGAGGAGAGUGGCUUUUCAAACACGACUCUGGAAGAUGGAGAGGAGGAGAGCCCUUCUUGAGGACAGAGGUGCCCCGAGAAGCCCUCUGGGGCCACCAGCGGCCAGGCUGGAGCCAAGGGCUGCCCACAGAGGAGGGCUCAGCUCCAGCAGUGGGCCCCGUGGUGGUGAGGAUGUCCACCCUGGGACAGCGGGCGGCUGGGAGAGCUCAGAACUCGCCCGAGACUUCCAGCCCCAACCAUCCGCCAAAGACGCUCCUCUGCUCCCGGGAGCAGGGCGUUCCCGAGCCCACCUACCCAGCAGAGGUGCCCGGGCACAUUCCAUGCUGUCUCCCCUGGACUGUCCCCCUCCCAGUGAC
Molecule: long non-coding RNA, 1044 nt
Filed under: Equus caballus (horse)
Lineage: Eukaryota; Metazoa; Chordata; Mammalia; Perissodactyla; Equidae
Description: lncRNA (ENSECAG00000059174.1)
Source: RNAcentral